RNAcentral lists this non-coding RNA (21 nucleotides) under Caenorhabditis elegans. The record is from RNAcentral. Lineage: Eukaryota; Metazoa; Nematoda; Chromadorea; Rhabditida; Rhabditidae.
UGUCAGUCUUCUUGAUUAGGU